GAGUUUGAUCAUGGCUCAGGAGGAACGCUGGCGGCGUGCCUAACACAUGCAAGUCGAGCGAGAAAUAGUCAGACGGAGAUUUCGGUUGAAGGAUGGUUAUGGAAAGCGGCGGACGGGUGAGUAACGCGUAGGCAACCUGCCUCAUGCAGAGGGAUAGCCUCGGGAAACCGGGAUUAAAACCUCAUAAGGCCAAGGGGACACAUGUUUUCGUGGUCAAAGAUUUAUCGGCAUGAGAUGGGCCUGCGUCUGAUUAGCUGGUUGGUGAGGUAACGGCUCACCAAGGCGACGAUCAGUAGCCGACCUGAGAGGGUAAACGGCCACAUUGGAACUGAGACACGGUCCAAACUCCUACGGGAGGCAGCAGUGGGGAAUAUUGCACAAUGGGCGAAAGCCUGAUGCAGCAACGCCGCGUGAGCGAAGAAGGCCUUUGGGUCGUAAAGCUCUGUCGAUAGGGAAGAAAAAGAUGACGUACCUAUCAAGAAAGCCCCGCA
RNAcentral lists this ribosomal RNA (491 nucleotides) under Peptostreptococcaceae bacterium canine oral taxon 125. Its description in RNAcentral is "bacterial SSU rRNA". It matches the Rfam family "Bacterial small subunit ribosomal RNA", at positions 9 to 497 of the family's 1533-position model. The record is from RNAcentral. Lineage: Bacteria; Bacillati; Bacillota; Clostridia; Peptostreptococcales; Peptostreptococcaceae.